RNAcentral lists this ribosomal RNA (505 nucleotides) under uncultured bacterium. RNAcentral describes it as "partial 16S ribosomal RNA". It matches the Rfam family "Bacterial small subunit ribosomal RNA", at positions 28 to 507 of the family's 1533-position model. The record is from RNAcentral.
GACGAACGCUGGCGGCGUGCCUAAUACAUGCAAGUAGAACGCACAGUUUAUACCGUAGCUUGCUACACCAUAGACUGUGAGUUGCGAACGGGUGAGUAACGCGUAGGUAACCUGCCUGGUAGCGGGGGAUAACUAUUGGAAACGAUAGCUAAUACCGCAUAAUAUUAAUUAUUGCAUGAUAAUUAAUUGAAAGGUGCAAUUGCACCACUACCAGAUGGACCUGCGUUGUAUUAGCUAGUAGGUGAGGUAACGGCUCACCUAGGCGACGAUACAUAGCCGACCUGGGAGGGUGAUCGGCCACACUGGGACUGAGACACGGCCCAGACUCCUACGGGAGGCAGCAGUAGGGAAUCUUCGGCAAUGGACGAAAGUCUGACCGAGCAACGCCGCGUGAGUGAAGAAGGUUUUCGGAUCGUAAAGCUCUGUUGUAAGAGAGGAACGGGUGUGAGAGUGGAAAGUUCACACUGUGACGGUAUCUUACCAGAAAGGGACGGCUAACUACGUG